AGAAGUAGGACUGUGAUCUGGGUGGGUGACAGCCUGGGUGAGGAGAGACUCCCACACAGGAGUCAUCAGCCACAGCAUCCACUGUGCAGAACCUCAAAAUGUGUCCCAUGCCCCCUCUGAAUUGACCAUAAACUUGGACACAUCAAGUCCGCUUCCUUAGACUCAGAGCCCCUAUAGCACAUAUACGCACGAUCUCCAAGGAGAAGUACACAGUAUUAGAUGAGUUCAGCUUACCUUUCGGCUAUUAACAAUUAAUUCGUGCUGCCAUUGUGUUUUUAUAAAAAAGACGUUCUUUUCCACCUCUCUCCCAUUCAUCAUGUUCAAUAGAGCUCAGCUCUGUGAUCAGGAAACCAAUUGUAAAGUCCAGAAUGAGGACAUGGGCUCUACAUGGUGUGGAAUGGCAGUGAGAUGGGCUACGACUUCAGAACUCAACUGAUCACACACAGGAGGGAGAAGAACAACCAAGCUGGGCUUCAAGAUGCCUUAUUUGGACACUAGUUUUUGAUGUGUCUCUGAUGGUUAUUAACCAGACAUUUCAAGGGCAAGAAACUAUUUCCCCAAAACUACCUUUUGAGACAUUUCCAGAGGCUGCCCUGUCCUCUCUAUCCAGAGACUCAGCCCCGACUCACCUCCUCUGGGAAGUCUCCCACAUGGACCUCGCUCUGCUCCCUCCUCCUCACGGCUGACCCUGCUGGGUCGUCCUGCCAGCUCGGACACUUGUUUGUUGUGGCUUUUGUAAAAUACUCUGUAGUCA
Molecule: non-coding RNA, 754 nt
Filed under: Pan troglodytes (chimpanzee)
Lineage: Eukaryota; Metazoa; Chordata; Mammalia; Primates; Hominidae
Source: RNAcentral